UACGUAGGGGGCUAGCGUUGUCCGGAAUCAUUGGGCGUAAAGCGCGCGUAGGCGGCCCGGUAAGUCCGCUCUGAAAGUCCAGGGCUCAACCCUGGAAAGCGGGUGGAUACUGCCGGGCUAGAAUCCGGAAGAGGCGAGUGGAAUUCCUGGUGUAGCGGUGGAAUGCGCAGAUAUCAGGAGGAACACCAAAAAAGGCGAAGGCAGCCAACUAUUCUAUUCCUGACAUUGAGGCAUGAAAGCGUGGGGAGCAAACCGG
Molecule: ribosomal RNA, 256 nt
Filed under: uncultured bacterium
Lineage: Bacteria
Description: partial 16S ribosomal RNA
Rfam family: Bacterial small subunit ribosomal RNA
Source: RNAcentral